UUUUCCUACGGGAGGCAGCAGUGAGGAAUAUUGGUCAAUGGCCGAGAGGCUGAACCAGCCAAGUCGCGUGAGGGAUGACGGCCCUACGGGUUGUAAACCUCUUUUGUCGGGGAGCAAAGAGAGUCACGUGUGGCUCAUUGAGAGUACCCGAAGAAAAAGCAUCGGCUAACUCCGUGCCAGCAGCCGCGGUAAUACGGAGGAUGCGAGCGUUAUCCGGAUUUAUUGGGUUUAAAGGGUGCGCAGGCGGGAGAUCAAGUCAGCGGUAAAAUGUCGGGGCUCAACCCCGGCCGGCCGUUGAAACUGGU
Molecule: ribosomal RNA, 305 nt
Filed under: uncultured bacterium
Lineage: Bacteria
Description: bacterial SSU rRNA
Rfam family: Bacterial small subunit ribosomal RNA
Source: RNAcentral